AAGAGAAAAAGUCCGCGCUCCCUUGAUUAUUUGAUAUUUCGGCCAUUCGGCCUGGCAUCCUCAUUUUUCCGAGUGGCCACUCGACCCACGCGAAAGGAACAACUUAAUUACGUCGCCCUGCACUUCCUCGUUGUAUACAGGUGGGGGUAUACGGUGUGUCUCGUGGAAACGCGACGACUCGCGGCUGAAGAUUUCGCCCACACUGUGCGCGCUUUUUAAUCAUCUUCUCAAUCACUCGUACGGUGCAUUUGCAUUAGUUUUCAACCGUAUGGUGAUCGAGAGAGAAAAACAAAAAAAAUUGUAUCUUAUUCGAGCAUAUUAUCGAGUCGAUCGGCACUCGUCUCUUUGAUGCCAAACAUUUACAUUUUUCGGUACAUCGGAGAUCGGCUGUAUCUUUGCAUCGAAAAAGUUAAAUAAUCUUAAAAGCAGUUUUUGCCGGGUUUGCUCUUUCACAUCCGUGUUUUUUAAUGGCAAACGAGUGAUUGCUUCUACCGAGGAUACCAUCUGCAUUUAAAUCAAAAUCUAGUGUCGGUUGUUGUGAAUACACAAGUGCUACAAAUGUUAACUGGAAGUCCUACAAUCUCAUCGUGUCGACACGUUCUUCGGGGGUGGCAAUUUUCCACUAGGGGCUAUAUAUAUUGAAUGGAUAAUAACAUGAUCAUUAAAGGGGUACUCUAUGGUGAUGCGUUUCGAAAAACAAUCAAUUACAUUUUCUCUCUUUACCGAUCUUUCCCACCAAAAUCUGAAAAUUUUGAAACGAUUUGUGCAUCAGUGCGAAAAAUACCCCUGUCCUUGCAGUUUGUCCAAUCUGUCUUAUCGAAGACCCGCCGAUCGCCCCUGUUCUCCUCCCGUGCGCGUAUCAACUCGCAUAUUCGCAUGCAGCCCUCGAAAUAAUCCCAUUGGGUUGGCUCGUUUGUCGCCGAACUCUAAUUGGAAGAUACCUAAGUCCUUUGAGCAUUUCCUUUAUACCCCACUCCCCGACGCUUCCACGGUAUACUAUUGAAUUUGCCUGCUCGACGGAGAUAUAAAACGUUUCCGGGCGGACGCAAAUAUACGAUUUCGAUCGCGAAUGUGAAAUUAUUCAAAGAAGGGUUGGUGUGUUGCAAAACGCCGAUUGAAGUGAAAUGUUUGCUCGAAACUUGUACAGGAAAGCGUAUAAUCAUCGGGACGAAAUUGC
Molecule: long non-coding RNA, 1177 nt
Organism: Copidosoma floridanum
Lineage: Eukaryota; Metazoa; Arthropoda; Insecta; Hymenoptera; Encyrtidae
Source: RefSeq, a predicted model, not a curated record